GAAAUACAUCCCAAAACAAAGCAGUCCCUAUGCUCUCAGAUUUGCAUGCACCUUCUCAACAAUACAUGUGACGUGUAUGUGGCAGUGCAAGCAUUGUGUUGCCAGAGAGAGAAAACACAGACACUGAGGCCAACACUUCAGUGGCGCAUACAGAAGGAGGGUGCAGAGCCUGGAGAUGACCCAGAAGACAUUGGUGUCCUGCUUGAAGGUGUGGAGGUCCUCAGUGGUUUGGGGAACAUUGUGAUUGCCUGUGCUCUGUUAUUUGGGCUGAAGCUGGAUGGGCAGAGAUUGUCAUCCAAGGCACAGUUCCUAAAAAA
Molecule: long non-coding RNA, 317 nt
Organism: Myripristis murdjan (pinecone soldierfish)
Lineage: Eukaryota; Metazoa; Chordata; Actinopteri; Holocentriformes; Holocentridae
Exons: 3
Source: RefSeq, a predicted model, not a curated record